This 789-nucleotide ribosomal RNA is filed under the name Penicillium commune. RNAcentral's name for it is "eukaryotic LSU rRNA". The stretch from base 445 to 597 matches the Rfam family "5.8S ribosomal RNA". Lineage: Eukaryota; Fungi; Ascomycota; Eurotiomycetes; Eurotiales; Aspergillaceae. The record is from RNAcentral.
AUUUCCAUUCCCCAUAGGAUCGCAUUCCGGGCUUUUUUAUCGAGGCUGAACCUAAACCUGCCGUCAGGACAGUCUGAUCAUAGUUCAUAUGUUCCCUCCGAGUAGCAAUCUUAUGACAGAUACGUGGGUUCUGGCGGCGCCCGGGACGUAAGCCCCCCGGCGGCCAGUUAAGCGGCCCGCCGCAGCAACAAGGAACUAAAACCUGGGGGAGGUGGACCCAGAGGGCCCUCACUCGCCUUCCGUAGGUGAACCUGCGGAAGGAUCAUUACCGAGUGAGGGCCCUCUGGGUCCAACCUCCCACCCGUGUUUAUUUUACCUUGUUGCUUCGGCGGGCCCGCCUUAACUGGCCGCCGGGGGGCUUACGCCCCCGGGCCCGCGCCCGCCGAAGACACCCUCGAACUCUGUCUGAAGAUUGUAGUCUGAGUGAAAAUAUAAAUUAUUUAAAACUUUCAACAACGGAUCUCUUGGUUCCGGCAUCGAUGAAGAACGCAGCGAAAUGCGAUACGUAAUGUGAAUUGCAAAUUCAGUGAAUCAUCGAGUCUUUGAACGCACAUUGCGCCCCCUGGUAUUCCGGGGGGCAUGCCUGUCCGAGCGUCAUUGCUGCCCUCAAGCACGGCUUGUGUGUUGGGCCCCGUCCUCCGAUCCCGGGGGACGGGCCCGAAAGGCAGCGGCGGCACCGCGUCCGGUCCUCGAGCGUAUGGGGCUUUGUCACCCGCUCUGUAGGCCCGGCCGGCGCUUGCCGAUCAACCCAAAUUUUUAUCCAGGUGACCUCGAUCAGUAGUCCGGUUA